Molecule: long non-coding RNA, 312 nt
Organism: Monopterus albus (swamp eel)
Lineage: Eukaryota; Metazoa; Chordata; Actinopteri; Synbranchiformes; Synbranchidae
Exons: 3
Source: RefSeq, a predicted model, not a curated record
ACAUGCUGAUGAGAUUAUAUAUCUCAUCUGGCCUUGGAACACAUCGGAAUCCAGAGGAGCUGGAACGCGUCACCGGGGAGAGGGACGUCUGGACUACCUUGCUGAACCUUUUGCCAUCGCGACCCGACCCCUGAUAAGCAGAUGAUAAUGGAUGGAUGCAUGGAUGGAUGAUUAAAUGGCCCUGAGGGGACUAGAGCUGAUUAACUUUGCCUGAGAGGUGUGCUACACGGCACCAGCCUAUUACAGAGGAGGAGGAGUAAGCUACUGUGCAGAGUAGCCACCAUCACCACCGACCAGCCCAGGAGUGACCCA